Molecule: non-coding RNA, 21 nt
Filed under: Arabidopsis thaliana (thale cress)
Lineage: Eukaryota; Viridiplantae; Streptophyta; Magnoliopsida; Brassicales; Brassicaceae
Source: RNAcentral
CGGCGAAGUUUUUUUAAGCGA